Molecule: ribosomal RNA, 497 nt
Filed under: uncultured bacterium
Lineage: Bacteria
Description: partial 16S ribosomal RNA
Rfam family: Bacterial small subunit ribosomal RNA
Source: RNAcentral
GACGAACGCUGGCGGCGUGCCUAAUACAUGCAAGUUGAGCGCUGAAGGUUGGUACUUGUACCAACUGGAUGAGCAGCGAACGGGUGAGUAACGCGUGGGGAAUCUGCCUUUGAGCGGGGGACAACAUUUGGAAACGAAUGCUAAUACCGCAUAAAAACUUUAAACACAAGUUUUAAGUUUGAAAGAUGCAAUUGCAUCACUCAAAGAUGAUCCCGCGUUGUAUUAGCUAGUUGGUGAGGUAAAGGCUCACCAAGGCGAUGAUACAUAGCCGACCUGAGAGGGUGGACGGCCAAAUUGGGACUGAGACCCGGCCCAAACUCCUACGGGAGGCAGCAGUAGGGGAUCUUCGGCAAUGGACGAAAGUCUGACCGGGCAACGCCGCGUGAGUGAAGAAGGUUUUCGGAUCGUAAAACUCUGUUGGUAGGGAAGAACGUUGGUGGGAGUGGAAAGCUCAUCAAGUGACGGUAACUACCCAGAAAGGGACGGCUAACUACGUG